Molecule: RNA transcript, 1678 nt
Organism: Quercus lobata
Lineage: Eukaryota; Viridiplantae; Streptophyta; Magnoliopsida; Fagales; Fagaceae
Gene name: cytochrome P450 76T24-like
Exons: 2
Source: RefSeq, a predicted model, not a curated record
CCACAAACCAUCUUUGAGUUAACAAUGGACUACUACCUUGUAUUGUUGCUGAUGCUACCCUUUGUGUGGGCAUUCAUUCGUAUUGUCACCUCCAAUAAUCUAUCAAGCCAGACUCUUCCCCCUGGACCACACCCUUUUCCAAUCAUUGGUAACAUCUUGGAGCUUGGCAAAUUACCCCACCAAGAAAUUGCCAAGCUCUCCAAAACUUAUGGUCCCUUAAUGACUCUCAAGCUUGGGAGAAUAACCACCAUAGUCAUUUCCUCUCCAACCUUAGCUAAAGAAGCACUUCAGAAAAAUGACCAAGCUUUCUCUAGCCGAACCAUCCCAAAUAUGGCCCAUGUAUUCGACCACCACAAACUUUCAAUGGCUUGGAUUCCCACAAAUGCUAAAUGGAAGAACCUUAGGAAAGCUUCCGCCACUCAAAUAUUUGCUACAAAACCUCUUGAUGCCACACAAGCCCUUCGACAAACAAAGGUACAAGAACUACUUGACCAUAUUAACCAAAGUUGCAAAAGUGGUGCACCCAUUGAUAUUGGUCAAUUAGUGUUCACAACAGUUCUUAAUUCAAUAUCAAACACUUUUUUCUCUAUGGACUUGGCCCAGUACGACUCUAAUUUGUCCCAAGAGUUCCGGGACCUUGCGUGUAGUGUAGCCAAAGAAGCUAGAAGGCCAAAUAUUGCUGAUUAUUUCCCAGCACUUCGUUUGAUUGACCCCCAAGGUGUACGCAAAAGGACAAGGAUUUAUUUCUCAAAAGUAUUUGGGAUUUUUGAUGGAAUCAUCAAUCAACGACUCCAAUUAAGAGCUUCAUCAAAGGGUUUUAAAGAAAGCAACGAUUUCUAGAUUCACUCCUCAAUCUCACUGAAGAAGAUAAUUCAGAAAUAAGCCUCGUCGAUAUCAAACAUUUGCUUCUGGACUUAUUUCUUGCAGGAAUUGACACAACGUCAAGCACAGUAGAAUGGGCAAUGGCAGAGUUAUUACACAACCCAGAAAAAAUGACAAAAGCCCGAGAUGAGCUUGAAGAAGUCCUAGGUAAGGGCGGGCAUGUUCAAGAAUCAGACAUCUCAAAGUUCAAUUAUCUUCGAGCUAUAGUGAAAGAAACCUUCCGAUUGCACCCAUCAGUGCCUUUUCUACUUCCACGUAAGGCUAAGACAAACAUAGAAAUAUGUGGCUAUAUCGUGCCAAAAAAUGCACAAAUACUAAUAAAUGUGUGGGCAAUGGGACAAGACGCGAGCUUAUGGCAAAGCCCAAAUUUAUUUAUGCCUGAAAGGUUUUUAGAACAAGACAUUGAUUAUAAAGGCCAAGAUUUUGAGCUGAUUCCCUUUGGAGCUGGAAGAAGGAUAUGCCCUGGAUUACCAUUAGCUAACCGAAUGGUGCAUUUGAUGUUGGCUUCUCUUGUUCACUACUUUGCUUGGAAGCUCCCAAAUGAGAUGAGGCCAGAAGACAUGGACAUGGCUGAGAUGUUUGGGCUUACCUUACAUAGGGCAAUGCCCCUCCUAGCUAUUCCAAUCAAAUCCUUGUAACUUUGAUUGUUUAUUCUUGGCCCACUAUGGAUGUGAAUUUGUCUAUGUUUAAUAUGAUGCCUUCAAUAUUAGAAUUUUCCAUAAGUAUAGUAGUGGAAAACAAUUAUAGAUCAUACAUCAUUAUUUUGUAGUUUUAUAGUGAGUUUUAAUUAGCUCAA